Molecule: long non-coding RNA, 5284 nt
Filed under: Sus scrofa (pig)
Lineage: Eukaryota; Metazoa; Chordata; Mammalia; Artiodactyla; Suidae
Description: lncRNA (ENSSSCG00000057513.1)
Source: RNAcentral
AUUUUAGGGCCGCACUUGAGGCAUAUGGAGGUUCCCAGGCUAGGGUCUAAUUGGAGCUGUAGCCGCUGGUGGACCUACACCACAGCUCAUGGCAAUGCCAGAUCCUUAACCCACUGAGUAAGGCCAGGGAUAGAACCUGCCACCUCAUGGUUCCUAGUUGGAUUCAUUUCUGCUGCACCACAAUGGGAACUUUUGAACAGGGAUUUUAAAUGAGCAUGACAAAUAUUCUCAUAUUUCAUCUCAAAUAUCUUAAAUCUGGAAGAAGCAGGUUAAAAACUAAAGAUAAUGGAUAUAAAAAUAUUCAGCAAAUGGGCAUAACAGAAUGAAUAUACCAGAAGAACAAAUGAAUAAGCUAGAAUAUUAGGUCAAAAAGGCUGAUAUAUCAGAUCAGGAGGGGGGAAAAAGUUGGAAAGAAAAAAGUUAAAUAUAUGAAAGACAAGAGUGUAAGUGUAUAUGAAUUUAACAGUCUUCCAGGAAUGAAAGGGAAGAAAUUUUUAAGAAGUAAUAAGUGAUAAUUUUCUCUAAUUAAAUACAGAUAUAAGUCCUUAUAAUGAAAGAAUGCCAAACAGGCUGUACAAUAAAAACACAACAAACAAAACCCCUUACCUAAAAAUGCUAAAAUGAAAUCAAAUAAUAUUAAAGAAAGAAUUUUAGAAGCUUUGAGAAAGUACAUGCAGAUUACUUGCAAAGGAACAAGCGUCAAACCAAUUCAAAUUUCUCUAGUGGCAAUACUGAAUGUAAAAAGACAAAAGCAUAUUGUGUUUAAAGUUUUGAAGGAAAAAGUUAAACUCAGAAUUUUAUUUUUAGCUAAAUUAUUAUUUAUAUGUAAAGCUGGGUCAAAUAUCUACAGGUAUAUCAAGGACUCAGAAUCAUUACUACACAAGAUCCUUUCUGAAUGCACUCAACAAGAAAAGAAAUGAAUGAAGACUGUUUCUUGGUGUCUAAAUAAGCAACGAUCAAUGUGUUCAAACAUAUUCUCAAAACUCUGAAACUAAAGCUCUAGUUGUGGGUGAAGGAGACAGACCAGAAGGAAAGUGGAGCAAAAUUUAAAGGCAGUUUAUUUUGUUGAUGAGAAGACAUAAAACACAUAGAAACUGAGAUAAGUUCUAGGAUCUGAUAAAUGUACCAUCAUAAUAAGAUGUUAAUAUUAGAGGAAGCUGAGUGAGAAGUAUAUAGGAACUCUGUGCAACACUUCUAUAAAUCUAAAAUUAUUUCAAAAUAGAACUGCUAAAGAGAAAAAUACUAAAAUAUUUAGAUGACAAAUCCUACAAUAACUAUAAUAAUUUUGAAUUUGUUAAAUAAACACCAAAAGCAGAGACCCUCAAAUUGAAUUUUAAAAUAUUAAAAUCCAGCAAUAUGUUGUCUGCAAGAUGUACUUGUCAAAAAAAAAUACGAAAAAUGUUGAAGAUAAAAGAGAAAGUAUACCAGGCAAAUAUAAUCAACAACAGCAAGAGCUAAAGGAGCAAUUUUAAUAUGAGAUACAACAGAUCAUAAGGAAAAAAAUCAUAAGGGACAAAGAGAAACAUACUGACUAGUAAAAGCAAAAAGAUAUAACAAUCAUGAAUAUAUAUGUUGCUAACAAUUAUGCCAUAAAAUACAUAAAGCAACAGGUGACAGAAUUACAGAAAGAAAGAAAUCAACAGUUAUAGCUGAAGAUUUUAAUAAAUUCCUCUAUGAAACUGAUAUAGCAGCCAAAAGAAAAAAAAAACACCAAUAAAGCCAAACCCCCCCAAGCCCCCAAAAUAUAGAUAUGAACUAAUUUAACAUGCUUGAGCUAAUAGUUUGGAGAAGGUUACAGAAUAUACAUUAUUUUAAAGCAUAAAUGGAACAAUUACAAAAAUUGUCUAUACCAAACUACAAAGCAAAUUUCAGUUCAUUCCUGAAAAUUGAUAUUAUAUUCUCUAAACAGUAUGUAUUAAAAUAAAAAGUCUAUAACAAUGAGUGGCUGAAAAUAUCCCAUAUAUUUGGUAACUAAAAACAAAUCCCACAUUGCUAAAAAUUCUUGGCUUAAAAGGUAAAUGAAUGUCAACUAAAACUCUGCAUGUUAAAUCAAGAAUUUGGAGCAAAUUAUAACAAAGUUUGAUAAUGAUUCAUCUCAAGAAGGUAGAAAAAGAAGCUGCAGAAUAUAUAUUCAAAGAAAUGAAAAUUAAGUAAUACAGAUUGGGACAGAAAUCAAUCAGAGAUCAACAAAAAUAAUAAAGAUGAAUCAAAAGCUGGUAUUUUGGAAAGGCUGAUAAGAUAAACAAAUACAGAGCAAGAAGCAGGGAAUAAGUAUGAAUAUAUGCUUAUAACAUUUAAUUUUAAUAAGCUUACAUUUAUAAACAUAACUAUCCUAAUAAAUUUAAAGACCUAGACAAAAUGUUUCUGAAAAAAAAUGUUAAAAUAGCAAAAGAUGAAGCAGAACACUUGUAUAGAUGAAGAAUCACGUUUGAAAGGAUGAAAAAUUAAACUGAAAUAGUAAUUUAAUAGUCUUACUAUUUCUAAAUUUCUAAAAGGUCUCAGUCCAAACAGCACUACAAGCAAGUUCUUCCAAAGAACAGACUAUACUUUUAUUAUAUAUAUUGUUCUGAAAACCAGAAAUAGAGUGAAAGUUACCUACUCAUUUUGAUAUAUAUAAAGUAACCUUGAUAACUAAACUGAUUAAGAACAGUCCAAGAAGAGAGAAUUAUAGGCCGAUUGCACUUAAAAACAUGACAGUAAACCACUAAAUAAAAUGUUGGCUGAUAAGUCUAAAACUGUAUUGAAAAAGGAAACACAUAUAAUCAUUAGCUUGAGUUUAUAAUGUAGGAAUGAGUUAACACUAGAAAAUCUAUGAGUGUAAUUCACUUCAUGAAUGGGCAAAGAGAAAAAUCCCAUGAUCAUUUUACUAUGUUCAGAGACACUUAAUAAAUCUCAAAACCUAUUUGUGAUUAAAAAGGGAAAAAAUACAUACAACCUCUCAGGAGACUAGAAAUAGAAGGAAACUUUAUUCAUUUAUUUAUGGCUUUAUUUAUUUAUUUAUGGCUACACAUGUGGCGUGUGGAAGUUCUGGGGCCAGGGAUCAAACCUGGACCACAGCAGUGACCGGAGCCACUGCAGCAACAAUGCUGGAUCCUUAAUCUGCUGAGCCACCAGAACUCCAGAAACUUUAUUACUGAACGCUAACUCCCUUAAACCGACCACAAACCUCAUGUCUAACAAAGAAACUCAAAAUGCUUUUUCUUUGAGAGAAGAAUGCUGGCUGUUAACACUAAUUUUCCAUGUGUUAUUGGAGAUCUUGAGCAAUAAAAGACAAAGAAAAAAGAGGUGUAGUGAUGGAAGAAAAUGCAUAGAAAUACAUGGAAAAAAAACAAAGACGAAUUAACAGACCAACUAUUGAUAGAAUAAGGUUCAGCAAGGCUUAGCAAGGCUGACAGAUUUAAAAAAAACAGUAUGCAAUAUCAUUAUCAUUCUUUUGCCCCACCAAUAACCAACUAAAGAUAUUUUAGGAAAUAAGAAUGUAUAAACUAUACAUAUUUAGAAAUUAAUACAAUAAAAAUGCUGACUUUUAUGGAGAAAAACUAAAGACUCGCUAAGAUAACAUAAAAGGAGACAAAUUAACCUCUAAAUUCAAUUCCAAUUAAAACUCUAUAGGACUUUGGAGUUCCCAUCGUGGUGCAGCAGAAACAAAUCCGACUAGGAACCAUCAGGUUGUGAGUUCGAUCCCUGGCUUUGCUUGGUGGGUUAAGGAUCCGGUGUUGCCAUGAGCUAUGGUGGAGGUUGCAGAUGCAGCUCAGAUCUGGUGUUGCUGUGGCUCUGGUGUAGGCCAGUGGUUACAGCUCUGAUUUGAUCCCUCCCUGGGAACCUCCAUGUGCUGAGGGUGUGUCCCUAAAAGGAUAAAAGCCAAAAAACAAACAAACAAACAAAACCAAACCUCUAUAGGACUUUAAGAGAACUUAACAAACUGAUUCCAAGACUAAGACAGAAAAAUGGAGGUCUAUGAAUACUAAAAUAAUUUUCAAAAUGAGCAGCACCUGUAAUUAAGGGGAGAUUCUCCUGUAAUUAAGACAGUAUUUUGCUCAGUAAUAAAAAUACAAGGUGAAUCAAACACUAGUAAAGCAACAAAUAGAACAGGUAAGCAAAUUUGAGAGUCCACGAAUACAUCCCUUGCAUAUGUGGAAACUUGGCAAUUGAAAAAGGUGGCAUCACAAAUCAGUAAAGAAUAAUAAUUUAGUAUGGUACUGAGACAAUAAGCUCAUUACACAGAAAAGAAUAAAUCUUGAUUCCUACUUUUAAUCAUAUACAAAAAUAAAUUACAAAGAAAUAUAAAGCGGUUAACAAUAAAAGAACUUUUUUAAUGGUAUUAAUGUAAGAAAGAACUUCUUAAACAAGAUCCAAGAAAGUAUGGGUGAAAAUGGAAAAAUAAAAUGGAUAGAUUUAACCUAAAAAUGAAAGACCGCUGUUCAAUGAAGGAAACUAGAGACAAUGCUUCAGAGGGUAUUUGCAAAUAUAAAAGAAAACAGAUAAGGAAUUACUACCUAGAAUAUACGUUGACCUUCCACAAAUCAGUUAAAAAAAAAAAAAAAAAAAAGAAAGAAAGAAAGCUUGUAACACAAUGUGAAGAGCAGUCCAUAGAAAGGGAAACCUGAAUGGCUAUUAAGUGUAUGAAGAGAUUUUCAAGCUUAUUAGUAAAUAAAAAGUGUUGGUUAAAAUGAACAGUAAAAUUCAUUGUUUUAUCAUUUUAGAACAAGUCAGAUAUUAUCAAGGGCCAUCAAGGCUAGGAGAAAACUGGAACCCUCAUGCACUACCGGUGGAAGCAUAAAUGGUGUAGCUAUUUUGAUGUAUAAUCUGGUAGUGUUUGGUAAAAUUAAGUAUUAUCCCCUAAGACCUAAUACUUUCCAAUACACACCCCAGAGUAAUUUUUGCACAAGUCCAUAAGAGAUAGGUCAUCACGUAAUUAUUUACUGUAGUAAGGCUAUGGAAGGAACACAAGACGAAUGAAAAGGUAAAUUGUGGCAUAUGUAUGAGAUGGAAGAAAUAAACAGAAAUAGUGAAUUAGAGUGAAAAAGUAACAAAAAGUUUUAAAAGGGAAUGAAAUAUAAUUCAUUUACAGACACUAAAAAUAAACAUUGUAUAUUUUUUCAACAUUCAUGCAUAUCUAAACACAUGGCAAGUAAAUUGAGAGAACAUGAUAGUGUGCCAUAUGCAAAGAGUUAUUAUUUUCUCAAUUCUGAAUACUUGAGAUUAAAAAGAAUUACUCAACUGAGAAAACUGGAGGCCAGAGAGGUAAAGUGGCAAGGUUUCAACUCUUGGGCAGCAGAGGAAU